CGGGGUGAGUAACGCGUGGGUAACCUGCCUUAUACAGGGGGGUAACAGUCAGAAAUGGCUGCUAAUACCGCAUAAGCGCACAGAGCUGCAUGGCUCAGUGUGAAAAACUCCGGUGGUAUAAGAUGGACCCGCGUUGGAUUAGCUAGUUGGUGGGGUAACGGCCCACCAAGGCGACGAUCCAUAGCCGGCCUGAGAGGGUGAACGGCCACAUUGGGACUGAGACACGGCCCAG
RNAcentral lists this ribosomal RNA (232 nucleotides) under uncultured bacterium. RNAcentral describes it as "partial 16S ribosomal RNA". It matches the Rfam family "Bacterial small subunit ribosomal RNA", at positions 104 to 334 of the family's 1533-position model. The record is from RNAcentral.